This 433-nucleotide ribosomal RNA is filed under the name uncultured bacterium. RNAcentral's name for it is "partial 16S ribosomal RNA". It matches the Rfam family "Bacterial small subunit ribosomal RNA", at positions 29 to 507 of the family's 1533-position model. The record is from RNAcentral.
AACGAACGCUGGCGGCAGGCCUAACACAUGCAAGUCGAGCGAGGACUUCGGUCCUAGCGGCGGACGGGUGAGUAACGCGUGGGAACGUGCCCUUUGCUUCGGAAUAGCCCUGGGAAACUGGGAGUAAUACCGGAUGAGCCCUUUGGGGGAAAGAUUUAUCGGCGAAGGAUCGGCCCGCGUUGGAUUAGGUAGUUGGUGGGGUAAUGGCCUACCAAGCCGACGAUCCAUAGCUGGUUUGAGAGGAUGAUCAGCCACACUGGGACUGAGACACGGCCCAGACUCCUACGGGAGGGAGGAGUGGGGAAUCUUAGACAAUGGGGGAAACCCUGAUCUAGCCAUGCCGCGUGAGCGAUGAAGGCCUUAGGGUUGUAAAGCUCUUUCAGCUGGGAAGAUAAUGACGGUACCAGCAGAAGAAGCCCCGGCUAACUCCGUG